Gallus gallus (chicken) is the source of this 522-nucleotide long non-coding RNA. RefSeq lists it as uncharacterized. The record is from RefSeq and is a predicted model, not a curated record. The transcript has 3 exons. Lineage: Eukaryota; Metazoa; Chordata; Aves; Galliformes; Phasianidae.
UGAGCGGUGGGACGCAGCGCUCCACCAAUCCUUGUUGCUCUCUCUGAUUGCCUGCUGACAGGCCCAUUUUCAUGCUGCAUGAUGGCCACUGCUUUCUAAAGGCUUCAGCAGGGCCAGGCUGAGAGCAACCUGAUGUGGCGCUUCUCAAGGAAGUCGUAAUAGAAUUUCAUGUGGAAGGUCAGUCCAUCGAUGUGGAGCACUCCAAUGUCCUUGAAGACAACGGCAACGUUCUCCCCAUUCUUCAGGCAGCCAGAGAGCAGGGACAACGGUGCUUUGGAUGCAAGCCUGCGCUGUCUGCCAGGUCACAGAGGCAGCUGCGGCCACCUCGCUGCUCUUGAGCGGCUCCAGCUUCCUAUGGGCUGAAAAAUGGGAGGGACGGAGUUGAUGAUACGGGACUCCCUGCGGGGCUUGAGGUGGUGCACGGCUAUGAGGUUUCCAGACAAGUGAAAGACGGGCCACCGCAGAGUCACGGUCCCGUCCUCAGUCCUGAUGUCUCUGGAGAUGGUGUCAAAGGAUCCGAAG